GCUAGAGUCUCCUGCCUGGACUUCUCCUGAGCCUGCUCCUCUUCCAUCUCCUGUGGCCUGCCUUCCUGGAGAGGGCUCUGCAUUGCAGAGUCCAGUUCUGGCAGGGGAGGAUGCUGAGCCCUGACUCAUGGUUAGCAAGAAGUGCUGGAUGAGAUGAUGGAAAGAAUCCGCUCAGUCUCCAUGAAGAGAAGUGGAAUCCCCAAGAGCCUGUCAGAAAUGCUUCCAUACUCCAGGACCAAUAUGAGUGUUAUUCCCAGCAUUGUCAAAGUCAUUGUCCCUCCUCCUGUCACCCCAAGCUCUUGUUGAAAGUCCCUCCUCUGCUGUCUGCCAUGUCAGCUGUGAACACAUGACAGUCUCAAGGCCAGCAGGUUGAGAGGUGAUUCAGCCCCUCCACUCUGCUGUGGUGAGACGUCACCUGCAGUGCUCUGUCCAGUUCUGGAGUGCCCAACACAGGAGAACUCUCCUGAUCAAAUGGAUCCAUAGGAGAGCUACCAAGAUGAUCAGAGGGCUGAAGCACCUCUGCUACGGGGACAGGCUGAGACAGGAACUGUUUAGAAGGGCCUGUGGUGAUAGAACAAGGGACAAUGGUUUGAAAGUGGAGCAGAGGAGAUUUAAGUUGGAUAUCAGGAAGAAGUUGUGCAUAAUGAGAGUGGUGAAAUACUGAAACAGGCUGCCCAGGGAUGUGGUUGAGGGCCCAUCCCUACAGACAAUCAAGGUCAGACUUGCUGUGUCCCUAUGCAGCCUGCUCUAGUUGGAGAUGUCCCUGCUGCCCACAGAGGGGUUGGACAAGAUGGCCUUUGAGGGUCCCUUCCAGCUCAGUGCACUCUGUGAAAUUUCCUUCAGUAAAUUCUGCCUUUACUUGCAUUUUGGCUGAGUUCUGACUUUGACCUUCAGCUGCAUGCAGAGAGGAAGCUCCCAGUGAAGUGCUGGAGCCUGGUGAGCUCUGGAGCUUCACUCUAGGCAGGACUGAAGAGCCACAGGAAGAGACAAUGGCCUUGUAGAUUCCAAAACAUUCCUCUGGUCUCUGUGUUUGUGUGCCAUGUUUCUGGCUACCUGUAUCCAUCAUCUGGAAUGCGAGGAGCAGGCUCCUGGCUGCACGCUAAUGACCCCUGCUCUUUAAUGUUCUCUCUCUAGUUAAUUAAUCUAUUUCUGGUAAUGCUGUGUCUCAUUUUGUGCUCUCGCUCCAGAGGCUGUGUUUGUAUUAUCCUGCUGCAGAGCAUUGACUGCUCCUAUUAUCAUUUAUCAUUAAAGGCAGCAGCACUGCUCUGGCC
Pogoniulus pusillus (Red-fronted tinkerbird) is the source of this 1271-nucleotide long non-coding RNA. RefSeq lists it as uncharacterized. The transcript is spliced from 3 exons. Lineage: Eukaryota; Metazoa; Chordata; Aves; Piciformes; Lybiidae. The record is from RefSeq and is a predicted model, not a curated record.